GUAGUCGUGGCCGAGUGGUUAAGGCGAUGGGCUUGAAAUCCAUUGGGGUCCCCCCACGCAGGUUCAAAUCCUGCCGACUACG
Lipotes vexillifer (Yangtze River dolphin) is the source of this 82-nucleotide non-coding RNA. The record is from the annotation of a RefSeq genome assembly. Lineage: Eukaryota; Metazoa; Chordata; Mammalia; Artiodactyla; Lipotidae.